RNAcentral lists this ribosomal RNA (541 nucleotides) under Epicoccum nigrum. RNAcentral's name for it is "eukaryotic LSU rRNA". The stretch from base 190 to 343 matches the Rfam family "5.8S ribosomal RNA". Lineage: Eukaryota; Fungi; Ascomycota; Dothideomycetes; Pleosporales; Didymellaceae. The record is from RNAcentral.
AAGUCGUAACAAGGUUUCCGUAGGUGAACCUGCGGAAGGAUCAUUACCUAGAGUUUGCAGACUUCGGUCUGCUACCUCUUACCCAUGUCUUUUGAGUACCUUCGUUUCCUCGGCGGGUCCGCCCGCCGAUUGGACAACAUUCAAACCCUUUGCAGUUGCAAUCAGCGUCUGAAAAAACAUAAUAGUUACAACUUUCAACAACGGAUCUCUUGGUUCUGGCAUCGAUGAAGAACGCAGCGAAAUGCGAUAAGUAGUGUGAAUUGCAGAAUUCAGUGAAUCAUCGAAUCUUUGAACGCACAUUGCGCCCCUUGGUAUUCCAUGGGGCAUGCCUGUUCGAGCGUCAUUUGUACCUUCAAGCUCUGCUUGGUGUUGGGUGUUUUGUCUCGCCUCCGCGUGUAGACUCGCCUUAAAACAAUUGGCAGCCGGCGUAUUGAUUUCGGAGCGCAGUACAUCUCGCGCUUUGCACUCACAACGACGACGUCCAAAAGUACAUUUUUACACUCUUGACCUCGGAUCAGGUAGGGAUACCCGCUGAACUUAA